CCUACGGGUGGCAGCAGUGAGGAAUAUUGGUCAAUGGACGAGAGUCUGAACCAGCCAAGUAGCGUGAAGGAUGACUGCCCUAUGGGUUGUAAACUGCUUUUAUAGGGGAAUAAAAUGUGCCACGUGUGGGAUGUUGUAUGUACCAUAUGAAUAAGGAUCGGCUAACACCGUGCCAGCAGCCGCGGUAAUACGGAGGAACCGAGCGUUAUCCGGAUUGAGUGGGGGUAAAGGGAGCGUAGGUGGAUUGUUAAGGCAGUUGUGAAAGUUUGCGGCUCAACCGUAAAAUUGCAGUUGAAACUGGCAGUCUUGAGUACAGUAGAGGUGGGCGGACUUCGUUGUGUAGCGG
RNAcentral lists this ribosomal RNA (346 nucleotides) under uncultured bacterium. RNAcentral's name for it is "partial 16S ribosomal RNA". It matches the Rfam family "Bacterial small subunit ribosomal RNA", at positions 338 to 681 of the family's 1533-position model. The record is from RNAcentral.